GGAGAGGUGCCUGAGCUGGCCGAAGGGGCACGAUUGGAAAUCGUGUGUAUCGGAAACGGUACCGAGGGUUCGAAUCCCUCCCUCUCCGCCA
RNAcentral lists this transfer RNA (91 nucleotides) under Fundidesulfovibrio magnetotacticus. Its description in RNAcentral is "tRNA-Ser". It matches the Rfam family "tRNA". Rfam says of the family: Transfer RNA (tRNA) molecules are approximately 80 nucleotides in length. Their secondary structure includes four short double-helical elements and three loops (D, anti-codon, and T loops). Further hydrogen bonds mediate the characteristic L-shaped molecular structure. tRNAs have two regions of fundamental functional importance: the anti-codon, which is responsible for specific mRNA codon recognition, and the 3' end, to which the tRNAs corresponding amino acid is attached (by aminoacyl-tRNA synthetases). tRNAs cope with the degeneracy of the genetic code in two manners: having more than one tRNA (with a specific anti-codon) for a particular amino acid; and 'wobble' base-pairing, i.e. permitting non-standard base-pairing at the 3rd anti-codon position. Lineage: Bacteria; Pseudomonadati; Thermodesulfobacteriota; Desulfovibrionia; Desulfovibrionales; Desulfovibrionaceae. The record is from RNAcentral.